CAGUAUUGGGAAAUGCUCUUUCCUGACUGCCUAUCAGAGAGAAGCUACUGGAUUCUCAAUGGCUGUGAAGGGGUUGUAAUUAAGUCCCUCCACCUGGUGUGAGACUCCUUCAUUGCCGUAACUUCAAGUGGACAGAUGAUCAUUUCUACUGAGCACUGGGUGUUAUAGAUUAUGCAUUUGGAUUAAGACUGCAUAAUUUAGGUGGCUUGGAACAUCUGGAACAAAUGGAUUGUUUUCUGUGACUCCUUGGAGUUCUACAAAUGCAUGGAAACACCAGACUUAAUUUAUACUGGAUGAGGUCAAUACCAGAUUUUUUUAUGAAGCAGACUAAAAAGGCAAUGAUUGUUCACCGUGCCCCUCUUUCCCUCUACCCUUUCCCCACUUUUUCUCUUCCAGAAUUUACGUUUUUAAAAAGCCAUUCCCCAUUGAUUACUGUAUCAGCCUGGGGUUUCCAGAGAUAUAGAAAUAUGAGGAUAUAUAUAAAAAGGGAUUUAGUAUAAGAAAUUGGCACAGUUGACUACGGAGGCUGAGAAGUCCCAAUAUCUGCAGUCUGAAGUUCUGAAUAACAUAUUCCAGCUCAAAACCAUCAAGCAGAGAGCAAAAUCUCUCUUGCUCAUCCUUUUUGUUCAAAGUUAAGCUUUCACUGGAUUGGAGGAAACUCACCCAUUUGGGUAAGGAAAUCUGCUUUGUUCAGUUCAUUAAUUCAUAUGUUAAUCUCUUCAAAAACACAUCCAGAAUAAUGUUUAUAAAUCUGAACACCAUAUGACCUAGUCAAGCUGAUGCAUAAAAUUAACCAUCAUGAUCAAAAUUUAAGUCUCUGACAUUCUAGCAAGGAAAGACUGGGGAAGGGGGUGCAUCCCCAAACAAAAUAAUAACUAAAGCUGCUUAACAGGUUUUCCUUCAAUAAACAACUGCUUUUAUACCAAAGUGGUUGUCAAUAUUUCAUUCUAAAAUAUGAAGGAGGUUUUAACUCACUACAAGUCCAAUAGGUCUUCUAAGAAAGAAUAGAAGAGCUAGGAUUGAAGCAUUUCAAGAGGGUUUCAUGGAAGAAGGAAGGGACUUAAGCCUUGGAAAUGAGUGAGGAUUGAAUCAACAAAGAAAUGCGCAAAUGCUGCCUUACAAUUGCAUUGUUUCAGGAUCACAUCACAGGUUAACAAAUGGCAUCAGCAAACAAUGCAAUGUGCCAGUGAAUAUUUUGUAUUCCCAGUUCUUAAAUUUGGCCUUGUAGAGAAAAUUAGUUCAUAUUUGCUCUAUCUUUUUCAUCAAUUGCCUUGAGCCCUGUCAAAGACAUGUGCUAUGGAAAUAGGAGGGAGCAGAACAGAAAUUACUUCUAAGUUUAUCAAUCUCUUUUUCUGUUCAGCUUGUCAUUAGAUAUGUCAAGCUAAGGUUUAGCUUAAGUUCAUGAUCCAUGGAGAUAUUUUUAAGAAUAAUAAAUACAUUAGGUGAGACUAUUCAAAUAGUGAAACUGUUUUUCUUCUUCUCCUUCUCCUUCUUCUUCUUUCUUUUCUUCCCCCCUGACUUUUGGAUCAUCAGAAGAAUAAUUUUCAGUAGGAAAUCAACCUGAGAAGAUAGAAUAUCUUGGCUAUCCAUAAAACCCAUAAAUCCUUUUUUUUUUUUUUUUUUGGUAAACCUAUAAAGUCUUAUCUCAGAAAUGUAGAUCUCAGUUUCUCAAGGUCAAAGGAGAGAUCAUGACUUCUUUUAGAGUAAACAUAUGUCAGGCAUCAAAAAAGCCCUAUUAGUUAUAUAUAAAAGUAAUAAAUGUAAGUCUGUAAAUACUAUCUUCUAUUAUAUCAAACUACAGGUAAUUGUCAUUUUACUGCACCUCACUUUACUGCACUUUACAGAUACUGCAAUUUUUAAUAACUGAAGAUUUAUAGCAACCUUAUGUUGAGCAAGUCUAUCAGUGCCUUUUUUUAAACAGCAUUAGCUCAUUUCAUGUCUCUGUCACAUUUUGGUAAUUCUCACAAUAUUUCAAAUAUUUACAUGAUUAUUAUAUUAUGCUUAUCUGUGAUCUAUUAUCUUUGAUGUUACUAUUAUAAAAGUUUUGGGACACCAUGCCCAUAUAAGAUGCAUAUGCACCAUGCCCAUAUAAGAUGGCAAACUCACUCAAUAAAUGUUGUGUGUCUGCUCCA
Molecule: long non-coding RNA, 2132 nt
Organism: Herpailurus yagouaroundi (jaguarundi)
Lineage: Eukaryota; Metazoa; Chordata; Mammalia; Carnivora; Felidae
Exons: 3
Source: RefSeq, a predicted model, not a curated record